Molecule: long non-coding RNA, 2087 nt
Organism: Columba livia (rock pigeon)
Lineage: Eukaryota; Metazoa; Chordata; Aves; Columbiformes; Columbidae
Exons: 4
Source: RefSeq, a predicted model, not a curated record
AGGAAGAAGAAGGGAAAAGGGCCCUACAUUUGUAACACUGUUGUUGUUGUUGUUGUUAUUGUUUUACUGAUUCAGUAUCCCUUUUUCAUUAAAUAUUGAGAGUAUUGUUCUACAUGCCCAGGAAACUGAACUUUCUGAUGAGGAAGUUUGUUAGACUUGUUAUACUUGGCCUUUGCCACGGAGUGACCAAAGGCAUUGUAGCUGUUACGACAUCUCUGUUUCACCAGAAAGAUUUAUCAGGGUUGAAGCUGCAUUGGACUCUUUUCUUAAAAUUUGCACCACCAGAUAUUCUGGUGCUUAUUCGUUUUCUCGUCUGUCUUAGACCUCGUUGCAGCCUAGAUUUUCAUUCUGUUGUAUCAUUAGAAAUGGAUAAGAAAGUGAAAACUUUGACACACAGCAUACUUGGGGUUAUUUUUGUUUGUUUGUUUGUUUGUUUGUUUGUUUAGGGGGGCAGUGUUUGUUUUAUUUUAAACAAAAUGAGCAGUAUUCCAGAUCUGCAAGUGAAAAGAGUCUAUGCCUCAUUUCUUUGUCUGCCUUCCAUCUGCAAAUAUUCACUCAGUGUGUCUGUAACUCUACACUGAGGCUACACAAGAAAUUGCCUGCAUUUUUAGUUACAUUUUUUACUUAUUUUAUUUUAACAAACCUUUUAUCACAGUUCAUUGUGUAAAUUACUAGAAAUAUCUGCCGGUUACAUUAAUUUGCUUGCUUUCCUUAAUAAAGAAAGGGACAUCGGAUUAUUUGGUGUAUAAUGAACAAUGGUAAUGUACAAACCAGUAUCAUUGAGUGUGAGAGACCUGCAAAGGUUUCUGCUGAGGGAAUUGAGGGCAAUUGCAACCUUGCAUUAGCAGAAACUUAAUUACAACAUCACUUUGUUUUGACAGGAGCAAAGAUUUUUUUUCUCCCUCUGAAUGUUUGACGGCUCCUUUCAGUAUUAAAUGAGGUUGCAGGUAUAGCUGAAGGAAAUAUACCCGUGUCUCUAAAAAGUUACAUGGUAAUGGUUACCAAAACAAGGACUUUAUGGGCAGUUUACAAAGACUGCUGUGGCUGUAGAAGAGCAAAGAGUAAGCUCUAAUAUGAGUCUGUCCUCCUCAUCUACAAGAGAGUUUCCCCCAGGAAGAAAGACGUACUCGACUUCCAUUCCAGUCAGUUCUUCCCUGAAGAGUGGAUACAGACAGAAUCUGGCUCCCCAAGUACACAUGUUUCUUGUUUGCUUCUGGAUCUCUUCAGAGAAGGGAGAAGAGCAGAAGGAAGGGGUGUGAUGUGGUGUAACUUGAUGCUCAGCUUUACACGGUAGCCUACUACUGAUCAAAAUAUGGAAACAGUCACUGCUGGAAAAAAAAAGAAACCAAGAUUUGACUCUUCUGGUAAGACAACUCAGCUAUUGGAUGCAAUCCAAGUGGCAUGUGCAGGCCAUGAUCUGAGUGACAGAACAAGAAUGUUCUUUACCAAAGGGAAUUCGGAGGAUCCUUCAAAACCAGAAAAAGUAUGCUCUAGUUUCAGCCAUGUUCUUCAGAUUUUCUCUCCCAGUGGAACCAUCCCAGUUUAAAAAUAAAUGCGUCAGAAGGAAUUACAUUAGUUAAUAAUAGUUGUGUCUCCUCCUUCUCUCUCCUCUGCCCAGAACCAAUGACUAGCAAAGACAGUUUCCUAGGCUGACACCAAAGACUCCUUUAUGAAUGUUCGGUCAUAUAGUACCUUGGGGAGGAACUUUCUUAAGGAAGAAGUGUGAAACAGUUAAUCUCUAACAUUUCCUGUAACCAUUUCUGUUAGUGUCCUCUGCAAAUGCUACUGGUAUAUUUUCCUCCCACCCUCCUCACAAGCAUAUCUUUUUGAUGAGAUCAUGUGUCUGACACACUUCCGACCCAAUAUUGAGUACUUUUUUCCUCCAUCACUUUGGCAAAUCAUUUCUUUGGUAAUUUAUUAUUUAACCAGAUGUUUUAAGUUCGUAUAUCCACCAAAGGACGAAUUUUAUCAAGUUAUCUACUAAUAUUUGUGGUACUCCUUUCUGUGCUAAGAUUGCUGAUUUUGGCAACAUUCUACCUUUUUGUAUCAUUGCCUCCUUUAAGAUGAAUAAAUGUCCUGCUUCUUUA